This 574-nucleotide long non-coding RNA is filed under the name Mytilus galloprovincialis (Mediterranean mussel). Lineage: Eukaryota; Metazoa; Mollusca; Bivalvia; Mytilida; Mytilidae. The record is from RNAcentral.
AAACACUAGUAAAAUGAUUCUAUGAUGGACAUUUUAAAAGUGUUCUUGUAGAAUUACUGAAUUAUCCAGGUCAUUACACAACUGUAAUAGUUGUUUUACUUCUUUUAAUGUCGUGAGUGUUCUGUGAAGUAAAUAAAGGCAACAGUAGUAUACCGCUGUUCAAAACUCAUAAAUUCAUGGUCAAAAACCACAAGGACAUAACACUAACAUGUAACACACACAGAAACGGACCGAGCAUCAGACAAAAUCAGGUAAAUGAUACAUGAAAUAUUGACCUUUACUUUCUUUUAAAUUCCGGUAUCUUUGAUAACUUUUAUAUGUUACAUUUAGUUUCAAGGUGUGUAAAAUGUAAGACAGAAUUAAGAUCUUUACCUCUUGAGCGGUACCCUACGAAUUUUAAAAAAAAUACAACAUGAAAGAGGUACGAAAGAUACCAAAGGGAAUUUCAAACUCAUAAAUCUAAAACAAACUGACAAUGUAAUGGCUAAAUAUGAAAAAGACAAAAAGACAAACAAAUUACACAUGACACAACAUAGAAAACUAAAGAAUAAACAACACGAAUCCCACCAAAAAC